Molecule: long non-coding RNA, 2786 nt
Filed under: Homo sapiens (human)
Lineage: Eukaryota; Metazoa; Chordata; Mammalia; Primates; Hominidae
Description: HSALNT0189936
Source: RNAcentral
UGUCUCCCACCCCAUCCGAGAACUUAGACUGUACUGACAGAAGUCACUGGCUACACAGGGACCCGUGUUCAUCCCAAAGUGAGGACAGCAGCUGGGUCUCAAGGCCUCUUUAUUACACGAGAUGCUAAUGGGACUCAUUAAAAGCUUCUCAUUACCCAGCUAAUUACAGGGCUGUGUGGGCAAAGAACAUGGGCCAGAACCCAGGGUUGGGAGCAUUUGGUAGGAUGAGGAGAGAAGUGGGAAGCUGUUUACAUGCAAAUGGCAUGACUGGUUCAUUCCUGUGAGGAGCCCAGGUGCUGUUCCUAAUUGGUUCCAUCCAUCUCCCUCCUCCUCCUCUCCUAACCCCACCAAUCUGGAGCUGAAGGCCCAAGCUGGGCAGGCUGGAGGGAGUUGGGUGUGUAAGAGGAGGAGGUGUUAAGCCAAGAGCUGAGGACUAAAAGCCUCCUGGGUCCAAUCUCUGCAUCCACCCCUCUCCCCCACCAACCCACCCAUCCCUGCUCCCAAGCCCUGGCACCAGGGAAGCAGGGCUUCAGCAAAGGUACACCAUAAAUAAUGUCCUUUGAUGAUGCAGCAUCUCAAAGAGGAUGGCAGGAGCCAAGGAUGGUGGGGGAGCCGGGGCGGGGGGUGCGGGGAACAAGGGGAUGGCAGGGAGAGUUGAUCACCCCUUGAUCUCUGGGAUUAGCAAAGACUUGAAAGAGCUAAUGCUAGGCUAUGUUGGAGAGGUGAUGAGAGAGGGAGGUAUUGGAGGGCUAGGACAGCCUGGGCUUCAUUUUGCCUACAAAUCAUAUGGAAAUGACAUGUAAAGUGGGUGUUGCAGCUAUAGAGUCCCCAAGUGUUUUUUCUUGAACACCCACCCUUUAUUUGAGCCACAUCUCAGAUGAUGUCCCUGGCCUAGAGGAGCAGGGUACUUGGAGUCCAGGGUCCUUAGCAGCUCCUCCCCUGCAACUUCCCCUCUUUGCUGCUAUGAUGGGUUAGGGAUGAGGCCAGGAAAAGGUGUGUACAGUUGUGCUGUGUUGAGACAGGUUAGUCAGCAAUUCACUGAGGGCCAGAGGUGGAAGCAGACCCUCUAGCUUGUACACACAAGAUGGCCUGAAUAUAUCCACCACAUGCACAACUUGUGGACUCUCGCAAAAUCCCAGAGGGGUACUGGCAAGGGGAGAGCAGGGCUAGGGUCAUAUGUGACACUGGGUGGAGAUGCCAAUGAAGAGUGGAAGGAUGACAGCAUUCUAUGUCCUGCCAUGUCCUGCAGCCAGGAGACAACUGGAGAAAACCCCACAGAGCAAGGAACAAGAGGCCCUCAGAGCCUGAGGAAGAAAAAUGGACUAAGCCAGGAGGACUGAGCUAGAGCUGGUUUAAGCUGUGAGAUGCUAGAAUGGCUCCUCAUGGGGUUAGGGGAAUCCAGGAUGGCUUGUGCCCCUCAGAGGCUGAAACAACCCAGACUCUCAGAGCGCUGAACUGGCUGAAGGGAGAGGGCUGGGAGAGAAGAGGCAGGGCUGGGGAGGGGAGGACUGGUAGCAGAACUCCAGCUUCUCCCACAGUGAUGGAGCCAAUUCCAACCCUGUAACACAGGUGGGGAAACUGAGUCCCUAUUUGUUUCAGGGGAUGAAAACACACACUCCUAGGCUCCAGAAAAGAGAGGCAGAGACAGGAAAGAAGAGGAGGAAGAGAGUGACAGAAGAGUAAAGGAGGAGGGGAGUGCCUGCCCUUCCUUGAACUCCAGUCCAUCUACAUGAUGGGCACAGUGAGGACAGGGGUGAGGGCCCUAGCCCUUCCCCUCUCCCAUCACCCCCAGCCCAGGGAGCUGACAGUGCCUUCAGCCCUGUGAAGGGAAAUGCAGGAUAGGGAGCGGCAGCUGCAUGUUCUCCUGAAAUUGCUUCUGAAAAUGACCAGACACUUCACUGGGAAAGUGACGACAAUUUGGGCCCUGGGAGCAGGAGAUGAGAUGGAGAGCGGGGGCGAUGAGGCGCAGGUCACCACCCCACUCUCGGCCAGAUAGGCUCUUCUCGGCCUGAUUCUGAGAAGUCAAGGAUGGGGGGAGCUGUUGGGGGCGGGAGAAGGCUGGCCAGAGCCUGAGCUACCCCUAUUCUGAACAGAGCCACCCUCCUCCCAAACAAGGCAGGCUCUAGCCCCUCACCCGCCUGAAAACAGAUGAUUCCCCAGGUUCUAUCUCAGCUCAAAGCAGGGUGUGCCAGAAGCACGUGGCUUGUGCUCAGACAGCAGAUUAAUCUGCAGGCAGGAAGAGAAGUUAAUCAGUUCUCCCUGGCCAGCAUGAUAGCCGGCCGUGAGCUGCCUGCAGAUGGAAGUCAGGUGGAGGGAGACCCCAGCCCCAAGGCAUAGCAAACUGGCACCCAGAUCCUGCCACUUCAAAGGAGGAAGUUAACCCACAGUGAGAAGCAAGGGGUGGAGCUGAAGAGAUGGAAGGGAGUCACCUCUUGGAUCUUUUUCAGCAAGAGGUGCAGGCUUGAGGCCGGGAGGGUUCUAAACAAUAAAAAUAAACAAGCAACCCUUCCAUCCUACGCAGGUGCCUCUGGACGGUGAAGGUAAGGGGAGAAGGGUAAGCGCAUAUCUCCUGCCUGCCCCCAGCCUCAACUCUUGGCGUGGGUUGCUCAUUCAUUGUUUGAACACCAAACACCAAUAAAGUGGCAGGUAGCAUGUUCCCUGACCCUGACACCUCUUCUGAAAAGUUUUCUCUGAUGCUGAGGGCCUGAGCCAAAUGGCUGUCUUGCAUUCCCCACUGGUGAAUCUAUAUCCCAGCCCAUAUCAUAUGGGCUAGGUUUUGUUUUUUU